RNAcentral lists this ribosomal RNA (497 nucleotides) under uncultured bacterium. RNAcentral's name for it is "partial 16S ribosomal RNA". It matches the Rfam family "Bacterial small subunit ribosomal RNA", at positions 28 to 507 of the family's 1533-position model. The record is from RNAcentral.
GAUGAACGCUGGCGGCGUGCCUAAUACAUGCAAGUCGAGCGAACGGACGAGAAGCUUGCUUCUCUGAUGUUAGCGGCGGACGGGUGAGUAACACGUGGAUAACCUACCUAUAAGACUGGGAUAACUUCGGGAAACCGUAGCUAAUACCGGAUAAUAUUUUGAACCGCAUGGUUCAAAAGUGAAAGACGGUCUUGCUGUCACUUAUAGAUGGAUCCGCGCUGCAUUAGCUAGUUGGUAAGGUAACGGCUUACCAAGGCAACGAUGCAUAGCCGACCUGAGAGGGUGGUCGGCCACACUGGAACUGGGACACGGUCCCGACUCCUACGGGAGGCAGCAGUAGGGAAUCUUCCGCAAUGGGCGAAAGCCUGACGGAGCAACGCCGCGUGAGUGAUGGAGGUCUUCGGAUCGUAAAACUCUGUUAUUAGGGAAGAACAUAUGUGUAAGUAACUGUGCACAUCUUGACGGUACCUAAUCAGAAAGCCACGGCUAACUACGUG